This 468-nucleotide ribosomal RNA is filed under the name uncultured bacterium. RNAcentral's name for it is "partial 16S ribosomal RNA". It matches the Rfam family "Bacterial small subunit ribosomal RNA", at positions 28 to 507 of the family's 1533-position model. The record is from RNAcentral.
GACGAACGCUGGCGGCGUGCUUAACACAUGCAAGUCGAACGGAAAGGCCCUGCUUUUGUGGGGUGCUCGAGUGGCGAACGGGUGAGUAACACGUGAGUAACCUGCCCUUGACUUUGGGAUAACUUCAGGAAACUGGGGCUAAUACCGGAUAGGAGCUCCUGCUGCAUGGUGGGGGUUGGAAAGUUUCGGCGGUUGGGGAUGGACUCGCGGCUUAUCAGCUUGUUGGUGGGGUAGUGGCUUACCAAGGCUUUGACGGGUAGCCGGCCUGAGAGGGUGAACGGCCACAUUGGGACUGAGAUACGGCCCAGACUCCUACGGGAGGCAGCAGUGGGGAAUAUUGCACAAUGGGCGGAAGCCUGAUGCAGCAACGCCGCGUGCGGGAUGACGGCCUUCGGGUUGUAAACCGCUUUCGCCUGUGACGAAGCGUGAGUGACGGUAAUGGGUAAAGAAGCACCGGCUAAUUACGUG